AGUGAACGCUGGCGGCAGGCCUAACACAUGCAAGUCGAACGGCAGCACAAGAGAGCUUGCUCUCUGGGUGGCGAGUGGCGGACGGGUGAGGAAUGCAUCGGAAUCUGCCCAUUUGUGGGGGAUAACCUCGGGAAACCGGGACUAAUACCGCAUACGACCUACGGGUGAAAGCAGGGGAUCUUCGGACCUUGCGCAGAUGGAUGAGCCGAUGCCGGAUUAGCUAGUUGGAGGGGUAAAGGCCCACCAAGGCGACGAUCCGUAGCUGGCCUGAGAGGAUGAUCAGCCACACUGGGACUGAGACACGGCCCAGACUCCUACGGGAGGCAGCAGUGGGGAAUAUUGGACAAUGGGCGCAAGCCUGAUCCAGCCAUGCUGCGUGUGUGAAGAAGGCCUUCGGGUUGUAAAGCACCUUUGUUGGGAAAGAAAAGCAGCCGGUUAAUACCCGGUUGUCAUGACGGUACCCAAAGAAUAAGCACCGGCUAACUUCGUG
This 490-nucleotide ribosomal RNA is filed under the name uncultured bacterium. RNAcentral describes it as "partial 16S ribosomal RNA". It matches the Rfam family "Bacterial small subunit ribosomal RNA", at positions 29 to 507 of the family's 1533-position model. The record is from RNAcentral.